CAGUAGCCACGGGAAUACGGAGGGUGCAAGCGUUAAUCGGAAUUACUGGGCGUAAAGCGCACGCAGGCGGUCUGACAAGUCAGAUGUGAAAUCCCCGGGCUUAACCUGGGAACUGCAUUUGAAACUGUCAGGCUGGAGUCUUGUAGAGGGGGGUGGAAUUCCAGGUGUAGCGGUGAAAUGCGUAGAGAUCUGGAGGAAUACCGGUGGCGAAGGCGGCCCCCUGGACAAAGACUGACGCUCAGGUGCGAAAGCGUGGGGAGCAAACAGGAUUAGAUACCCCAGUAGUCUCUGUCUCUUAUAC
Molecule: ribosomal RNA, 301 nt
Filed under: uncultured bacterium
Lineage: Bacteria
Description: partial 16S ribosomal RNA
Rfam family: Bacterial small subunit ribosomal RNA
Source: RNAcentral